GAAAUGCGAUAAGUAGUGUGAAUUGCAGAAUUCAGUGAAUCAUCGAAUCUUUGAACGCACAUUGCGCCCUAUGGUAUUCCGUAGGGCAUGCCUGUUCGAGCGUCAUUUACACCUUCAAGCCUUGCUUGGUGUUGGGUGACUGUGGCCCCUUUGGGGCCACUCGCCUUAAAGUCAUUGGCGGCCGGUUCGUUGGCUUUGUAGCGCAGCACAAUUGCGUCCUCGAAGCCGCUGGACCAGCUCCCAGAAGCUAAUUUUAAAUGUUUGUCCUCGAAUCAGGUAGGGAUACCCGCUGAACUUAAGC
This 301-nucleotide unclassified non-coding RNA is filed under the name plant metagenome. Its description in RNAcentral is "partial contains 5.8S ribosomal RNA, internal transcribed spacer 2, and large subunit ribosomal RNA". The stretch from base 1 to 105 matches the Rfam family "5.8S ribosomal RNA", at positions 50 to 154 of the family's 154-position model. The record is from RNAcentral.